UUUUUAAUGCUUCUUAACCAAUAUCUUUGUCUUUCAGGUGUGAUCGUAUUCUUUCAUAUAUAGCACUGGAAUGAGAUUACUUAGGUAUGGAAGGACUGAACUCAGGUUUUCAGACCACAGAUCAGUGACUGCCACAUACAUGACUGAGGCUGAGGUGUUCUCUCCAAGGAAGCUGCCAAAAGCCCUGACUUUCACUGAUGCAGAGAUUGAAAAUGAAGAAGUCAUGGCAAAUUUAAGUAGUUGGAAUUUAGCCAAAUAAUCCGGACAAGUUGCUUUACAUUGCUUUCCUGUAAUUUGAAUGAACUAUGGGAUUGCAAAAACUAUUAUCUAGGCUUCAUGGUUAACAUGAAUAUAUUGAACAUCUAUAAAAUAAUAAUUUUGACAUAUGUCCAUAAUCUCUAUUUUCUGGUGCUGGGCCACUGUUUGAGUCCUGAUGAACAGGGAAAAAAGUUUUUGAAGUUUAGGCAAACUAUACAGGGAAAAAAGAAAUCCUAAAUCACAUUUAAAGGCAUAUUACCAGUCAUGAUGAACAGUUACUACCGAUGAGCAUUUACAAGGCUUUCUUCCUGAAAUUAUGAUACAUAGUUUUACUCUAGUUUUUGUAUGUAUGAAAAGUCACUUUCAGAGUACUCUUACCUAUAAGAGGGCAUAAAAAAUAUC
Molecule: long non-coding RNA, 660 nt
Filed under: Glycine max (soybean)
Lineage: Eukaryota; Viridiplantae; Streptophyta; Magnoliopsida; Fabales; Fabaceae
Description: long non-coding RNA (GMAX_LNC000240)
Source: RNAcentral